UUCAUUCCACCUACCAAAAGACGAGUGGUACAACUUGUACAUGUGAACUCCUAGCAUUCACAAAUAAUAAAAAACCCUUAAGCUUGACAACUCAACUAAGGGAGCAAUUAUGCCCAACAAGAGUUGUAGUCACCAACAAAGUCUUAUUGCAAGCUAACAACAACUUCAGUGUAUGGCAUACGAAAAUCCAGCUAUUCAGCCCUCUUGCAUCUGCUUUAGACAUUUCUCCUUUGUAACAAUGCAAACACUACAACUCGUAGAAAGCUUCACAUACUCUUGAUCAAGACAGUGUGAAGCAAAACCAA
RNAcentral lists this long non-coding RNA (305 nucleotides) under Malus domestica (apple). Its description in RNAcentral is "long non-coding RNA (MDOM_LNC012410)". Lineage: Eukaryota; Viridiplantae; Streptophyta; Magnoliopsida; Rosales; Rosaceae. The record is from RNAcentral.